Molecule: ribosomal RNA, 402 nt
Filed under: bacterium
Lineage: Bacteria
Also listed under: 1 other name
Description: partial 16S ribosomal RNA
Rfam family: Bacterial small subunit ribosomal RNA
Source: RNAcentral
UGGGGAAUUUUGCACAAUGGGGGAAACCCUGAUGCAGCGACGCCGCGUGAUUUAGAAGGCCUUCGGGUUGUAAAAAUCUUUUCUAUGGGAAGAAAAUGACAGUACCAUAGGAAUAAGGACCGGCUAAUUACGUGCCAGCAGCCGCGGUAAUACGUAAGGUCCGAGCGUUGUCCGGAAUCAUUGGGCGUAAAGGGUACGUAGGCGGGUAAGCAAGUUAGAAGUGAAAUCCUAUAGCUCAACUAUAGUAAGCUUUUAAAACUGCUCAUCUUGAGGUAUGGAAGGGAAAGUGGAAUUCCUAGUGUAGCGGUGAAAUGCGCAGAUAUUAGGAGGAAUACCGGUGGCGAAGGCGACUUUCUGGCCAUAUCCUGACGCUGAGGUACGAAAGCGUGGGUAGCAAACAGG